Columba livia (rock pigeon) is the source of this 12790-nucleotide RNA transcript. It is a transcript of the gene named Ral GTPase activating protein catalytic subunit alpha 2, with no coding region annotated. NCBI's taxonomy places the organism in Eukaryota, Metazoa, Chordata, Aves, Columbiformes, Columbidae. The record is from RefSeq and is a predicted model, not a curated record. The transcript has 40 exons.
CCUGUCCCUGUCCCUCCGGCCCGCCCACCGCAGCCCGGACAGCGCGGGCGCCCGGCGCUCCCGUCUCUCCCGGGCGCUUCCCCGCACCUGCCCGGCCGCCGGGCCCUCCCCUCCCCUCCCCUCCCGCGGACACCAGCCGGGCGCGGCCCGCGGCCCCUCGGCAGCCGCGAUGUUCUCCAGGAAGGGCCACGCCGAUGUCAGGAAAUCCACCCAGAAGGCGCUGGACCCCAAGCGGGACGUGCUCACCCGCCUCAAGCACCUGCGGGCGCUGCUGGAUAUUGUGGAUGGAAGUGACCUGAAGCAGUUUUUUGAGAGCAAUUAUUCUCAGAUUUAUUUUAUAUUCUAUGAAAACUUCAUAACACUGGAAAGUAGCUUGAAACAAAAAGGGAAUAAAUCGCAAAGGGAGGAGCUGGACUCCAUUCUCUUUCUUUUUGAAAAAAUAUUGCAGCUGCUACCCGAGAGGAUUUUUUAUCGAUGGCAUUUUCGCAGCAUAGGGUCGAUCCUGAAGAAGCUUUUGCACACUGGAAAUUGUCUCAAGAUCAGGUGUGAGGGGAUGCGGCUGUUCCUGCUGUGGCUGCAGGCGCUGCAGACCCACUGCGGGGAGGAGCAGCUGCAGCUGUUCGCCAGCCUGGUGCCCGGCUUCCCGCCCGCCACGGCCGCCCCGGGGCCCUGCGCGCUCGACAGCCUCCUCAGCCCGCCCGCCGCGCCCGACGCUAAGAUUUUUCCAGAAGAAAUAACCCCACUUUUGCCAGCUGUCUCUGGAGAGAAAAUUGCUGAAGACCAGACCUGCUACUUCCUUCAGCUACUGUUAAAAUACAUGGUAAUUCAGGCCGCAAGCUUAGAGUGGAAGAACAAGGAGAAUCAAGACACUGGGUUUAAGUUUCUCUUUGCCUUGUUUAGAAAGUACUAUCUUCCUCACCUGUUCCCAUCUUUCACAAAGCUAACCAACCUCUACAAGCCUGUUCUUGAUAUUCCCGAUGUAAGACCAAGACCAGUAUACGUUACUGCAACGCGAAACAACGAAAAUGUCUAUAGCACAAAAAUCCCAUUCAUGGCAGCUCGAGUUGUUUUUAUUAAGUGGCUUGUUACCUUCUUUCUUGAAAAGAAAUAUUUAACUGCUGUUCAGAAUACAAAAAAUGGAGGAGAAAUGCUCCCUAAAAUUAUUCAGACUGUUGGUGGUGUGAACCAAGACAGAGGCGCGGAGCUGGAGCCCGGCGUGCCCCCGGGCGGCGAGCCGGACAGGAGCCAUUCCAACUGCAGCACCUUGUCCGACAGGAGGCUCAGCAGCUCCAGCCUGUGCAGCAUCGAGGAGCAGCACCGCGGCGUCUACGACAUGGUGCAGAGGAUCCUCCUGUCCACGCGAGGAUACGUUAACUUCGUUAACGAGGUCUUUCGACAAGCUUUUUUAUUGCCGCCUUCUGAUAUCUCUGCAACACGCAAAGUGGUGAAGGUGUAUCGGAAGUGGAUCUUGCAAGAGAAGCCCGUGUUCAUGGAGGAGCCCGACAAAAAGGAGGACGCGCAGGAUGCUGCUGGCAACGUCGAGGAUUCCUCAGUGCAAACGGAUGGUAAACAUCUCUCCUCCGACGGCUGCGGCCACAAGCGCUCGUCCAGCUGGGGCAGGACGUACUCCUUCACCAGCGCCGUCAGCCGGGGGUGCGUGGUGGAAGACGAGGACAGGAACGUCAAAGCUGGUGCUCAGGCUGCGCUGCAGGUGUUCUUGACAAACUCUGCCAAUGUUUUCCUCUUGGAGCCGUGUGUCGAAGUGCCGGUGCUUCUGAAGGAGCAGGUUGAUGCUUGCAAAGCCGUUCUGAGUAUCUUUAGGCGCAUGAUAAUGGAGCUAUCCAUGGAUAAGAAGACAUGGGAACAGAUGUUGCAGAUCCUCCUCAGAAUCACAGAAGCUGUGAUGCAGAAGCCGAAAGAAAACCAGAUGAAGGAUACGUUUGCGCAAAGCCUGUCGGGAUUGCUUUUCCGAACGCUCAUCGUGGCCUGGAUCCGAGCGAACCUGAGCGUGUACAUCUCCCGGGAGCUGUGGGACCAGCUGCUCGGCGUCCUGUCCGCCCUCACGGGCUGGGAGGAGCUCAUCACCGAGUGGGCCAACAUCAUGGACUCGCUGACAGCCGUGCUGGCCAGGACCGUCUACGGGCUGGACAUGACCAGCCUGCCCUUGGACAAGCUCAGCGAGCAAAAGGAGAAAAAGCAGAGAGGGAAAGGUGGCGUUUUAGAGCCUCAGAAGACGGCCGUAGUGGGAAGAUCUUUUUCGUUAAGCUGGAAAAGCCACCCCGAAGUUGUGGAGCCGAUGAGGUUCAGAAGCGCUACCACCUCCGGAGCCCCCGGAGUUGAGAAGGCCAGAAAUAUCGUUCGUCAGAGAGCUACAGCUAAGCGAAGCCAGUCUAUCAGCAACUGUGUCCAUCUCUGUGAGGCUUUGCCAGCCACUAAAAGUGUCCCUCUCCUGCUUCACACUGUGAGCUCUCUCUUACCUGGUAUCUCUUACACCUCUUGCUCUCACAGACUCUCAGAAGUUGAAGAGUCUCAGCAGCUGGAAAAUUCAGUGGGGCCGGAAGCUGCAGGGCUGUUUGCAGAGCAGGAGCAGCAGCUGACGCGGAGCAGCAGCGCUUCAGACCUUACAGACCAGUUUCCCUCUGACUUUUUCCAAGGUAAAAAGUCUGGGAGUUCUCAUAAUUUAACUUCUUCAGACUGCAAGUCAGUUCAGGAAAAUAAGGGAUGUACGAAGAAGGAACAUGAAGCUGAGCAAGUGCCAGUGCGCAGAAGCAGUAGCACAGCUGACCUGGAUUUGAAAGCAGCCUUGCAGCAAUCACAUGGCGAUUACAGAGAGAGAGAAAAAAGCGCGAGCGUGAGCAGCGACACGUCCAUCGGGGACAGCGCCGAGGUGGAGAUGGCGCUGCUGCCCUGGCCGGCCGCGCAGGACGAGCAGGACGGGCGCACGGCAGCGUGUGCGGAUCCCGACACGCCGCGCUGGCUGCAGCUCAGCCCCUCCGACACCGCCAACCUCACAGACAGCAGCGAGUUCCUGGCUGACGACUGCAGCAUCAUUGCGGGCGGGAGCCUGGUGGGCUGGCACCCGGAUUCCGCCGCCGUGCUCUGGAGGAGGGUCCUGGGAAUCCUCGGGGACGUCAACAACAUAGCGUCACCUAAAAUCCACGCCAAAGUUUUCAGCUAUCUUUAUGACUUGUGGUAUAAACUUGCAAAGAUACGGGACAACCUUGCCAUUAGUGUGGACAAUCAGUCUACUCCCUCUCCUCCGGCCUUAAUUCCCCCUCUCAGAAUAUUUGCGUCAUGGUUGUUCAAGGCAACCACCCUGCCGAACGAGUACAAGGAAGGCAAACUUCAGGCCUACAGGCUGAUCUGCGCCAUGAUGACCAGGCGCCAGGACGUUCUGCCAAAUUCCGAUUUCCUGGUUCAUUUUUACUUUGUGAUGCACCUUGGCUUAACAAGUGAAGACCAGGAUAUCUUGAACACCGUCAUAAAGCACUGCCCACCGUGGUUUUUCUUCCUGGGCUUGCCCGGCUUCACGCUGCUGAUCGGAGACUUCAUCACGGCGGCAGCCAGGGUGCUGAGCAGCGACGCGCCCGAGGCUCCCCGCUCAGAAGCUCACACCAUCCUCGGUUCUCUUGUUUGCUUUCCAAAUAUCUACCAAGAAAUCCCGCUCUUGCGGCCUGUUUCGGAAUCCGGUGAUAUCAUCGCAGGAACUGCAGAUGUGAAGUGCUACCUCAUAAAUAUUUUAUUGAAGAAUGCUACAGAGGAGCCGAGUGAAGCUGCAAGAUGCGUAGCCAUCUGUGGCCUGGGCGUCUGGAUCUGUGAAGAGCUGGCGCAGGGCACAAACCACCCCCAGGUGAAGGAGGCAAUCAACGUCAUAGGCGUGACACUGAAGUUCUCUAAUAAACUGGUAGCUCAGGUAGCCUGUGAUGUUCUUCAGCUCCUGGUUUCUUAUUGGCAAAAGCUUCAGAAGUACGAAUCCUCCCUGUCCAAGAAAAUCACUGAAAUCCUGGUGGCCACUAUCGCGUUUCUUUUGCCGAGCGCUGAAUACUCGUCGGUGGAAGCAGAUAAAAAGUUUAUAGUUUCGCUGCUGCUUUGCUUGCUGGAUUGGUGCAUGGCGUUACCCAUGAAAGUGCUGCUGGAGCCCGUGUCUGCGGGUGCUGUGGAAGAUCAGCACGCGGCCAAAGCGCCGCUGCUGGACUACAUUUACAGAGUCCUGCACUGCUGCGUGAACGGCUCCAGCACCCACACGCAGCAGAGCCCCUACGUGCUGAGCCUGGCGGAUCUCUCCUGCAGCGACUACGACCCCUUCCUGCCGCUGGGGAACGUCCGCAGCUCGGAGCCGGCCCAGAGCCCCUGCGCCACGGACCUGGGCAACCUGCUCACCGUCGCCGAGGAGAAGAGGAGGAGGAACUUGGAGCUGAUCCCCCUGACGGCGCGGAUGGUGAUGACGCACCUGGUGAACCACCUGAGCCACUACCCGCUGAGCGGGGGCCCGGCCGUCCUGCACAGCCUGCUGAGCGAGAACCACGACAACUCCUUCGUGGACUCCCCCGAGCUGUCCUCGGACGUCUUCCGCAGCCCCAACCUGCAGCUCUUCGUCUUCAACGACAGCACGCUCAUCUCCUACCUCCAGAUCCCCGCCGAGAAGCAGCCGGGCCCCGAGCCGGCCGCGGCCCCCUCGGACGUGCGGGUGAUCGUGCGGGACAUCUCGGGGAAGUACUCGUGGGACGGCAGGGUGCUGUACGGCCCGCUGGAGGGCUGCCUGCCGCCGCACCGCACGCCCAGCGCCUUCGCCAUCUCGGCACAGCCCGAGUGCCGCUUCCUUUCCCAGAAAGACGUUUCUCAGGCGGAAGAAGGAGAAGAUGCGCUGGACCAGCUGCUGGAGCAGAUUGGGAGCAGCAGCCCGGAGUGCCUCCUGCAUCCCCAGCGCAAGCUGAACGAGCCGUCGCCACCGCCCUUCGGCAUGAGCCGUGACCAGGAGAACGCCAUCACCGAGGCGCUGAUGAGGCAGAGCGCCCAGGAAACAGAGUAUAUGUUGAAACGCGGCUCGGACCUCAGCAUGAAAGUGGCCCGGCAAGAGCCGCCGCGUCCUGCCGAACCCCAGGCGUCCUUCUAUUUCUGCCGCCUCCUGCUGAACGACUUGGGGAUGAACUCCUGGGACAGAAGAAAAAGCUUUCACCUUCUUAAGAAAAAUGCAAAAUUACUGCGAGAACUGAAAAAUCUGGAUUCCCGCCAAUGCCGCGAAACGCACAAGAUUGCGGUGUUCUACAUCGCGGAGGGCCAGGAGGACAAGUGCUCCAUCCUCUCCAACGCCAGGGGCAGCCAGGCCUAUGAAGACUUCGUGGCUGGGCUGGGCUGGGAGGUUGACCUCUCGACACACGGCGGGUUCAUGGGCGGCCUGCAGCGCAACGGCAGCACGGGACAGACGGCGCCCUAUUACGCUACCUCCACCGUGGAAAUCAUAUUUCACGUGUCUACCAGAAUGCCAUCGGACUCCGACGAUUCACUGACCAAAAAGCUUCGUCACUUGGGGAAUGAUGAGGUUCACAUCGUCUGGUCUGAGCACACCAGGAACUACCGCAGAGGCAUUAUUCCCACCGAUUUUGGAGACGUUCUAAUUGUUAUUUACCCCAUGAAGAACCACAUGUUUUUCAUAGAGAUAAUGAAGAAACCGGAGGUGCCGUUUUUUGGCCCCCUCUUCAACGGAGCCAUCGUGACGGCGACGCUGCUGCCCAGCCUCAUCUGCGCCACGUGCAUCAACGCCAGCAGAGCCGUCAAGUCGCUCAUCCCGCUCUACCAGAGCUUCUACGAGGAGAGAGCUCUGUACCUCGAAGCAAUAAUCCAGAACCACAAAGAAGUAAUGACAUUUGAGGAUUUCGCCGCUCAGGUCUUUUCUCCCUCUCCCGGCUACUCCCUGGGCGGAACUGGUGAGUCUCUGCACGUUAUUCUUCUCUUUAGCACUAAGAAGCACUCGAGCAGCAGAUGUACACCUGUUUUUUGUAGAUAAAUGCUUGCAAAUUUAAGACGACCAUUCUUCCCCUGAAUCAACUAAUGAAUAUCAAAAGGAGUGAUGACAUUCAUUUUAAUUUGUUUUGCAUCAGAGCUAUUCACUGCGCUCCUUUCUUCAGCUAUCCUGUUAACCCCCGGAUCCAAGGAGGUUAAUGAACUUUCUCUCGGUAAUGUGCCUGGGCUCAUUCAGGACGGUGGGUUUCUUGCUGAGCUGGGAAUAUGUUGUUCAAAAGCGAUGCCUGAAUCGGUGCUUACUUAUCGAGAAAUAGUUCCUUGCAGUGGAGGCCGUUGCUGCUAAUGCUAAAUGGGGAUUAUGCUGCUGAGAUACCAGGGUCAGGGAUUAAUGCAGGAGCGGUGUAAGGACGGUGUUGUUAGGAGAUGCAGCAGCGCGCUGACACGGCCCUGGGUACACACGGGCCAUUUCGGGCGUCCUGCCAACACCUGGCCUGGGCCUGCGGGGGCUUAAUGUAUAUAUGGAGACAGAGACGUAUAUACGCACACGUAAACGCUGAUCAUCGUUCAUCAGCCCAACUGAAGGACGAACACGUAGUGCUGAACUCCCCAAAUGUAUUCCUUACAUGUGAGAUUCCCAGCCCGUAUGCAGUCAGCGCGAUAGGAACCGCUGCUCUGCUGGUUAAAUCGAGUUUAAAUAAACCCCUCCCCAAAGGAACCUUGAGUCUGAACUGCGGCUUUCUGGUGCCCUCAGGAUUUGUUUCUGCAGCCUCCGCAGAGCGCGUGGGCACCGUGUGCCGGACUCUGUCACAGAGGUUCCGUAAUCCCUUUUCUACACUCGCAGGGUGAAACCGGCACUUCUAAUUAUUCCCUGCUACCCUUCGGAUUGUUUAACAGGUUAUUUUAAACGUGUAUAAAUGUAGCAGGACAUCUGCUCGAUUUCUCUUUAGCCCGGCUUGUUAGCAAAUAUCUUCCAUCUAAACUGAGAAAUCGAGGGGAGAAAUUAAAUUUGCCAGGAUAAGCAUCAGAUAAUCUGGCGGCGCAUUGUGGGGCCGCUGGCCGCCGGCCCGGCUGCGGCACGUCGGAUCAGCGCCCCUGCGCCCGGCGGCGCGCAGAUAAGGAGCUGGCAGGACGGGACAUCUCCAUAAUCAUGGGGGGACAGGGACGUCUCCGUAACCGCAGGGGGACGGGGUUGUCUCCACAAUCACGGGGGGACAGGGAUGUCUCCAUAAUCGCGGGGGCACGGGGACGUCUCCAUAGUCGUGGGGGGAUGGGGUUGUCUCCAUAAUUGCAGGGGGACAGGGACGUCUCCAUCAUCACGAGGGGACGGGGACGUCUCCAUCAUAGUGGGGGGAUGGGGACAUCUCCAUAAUUGCAGGGGGACAGGACGUCUCCAUAAUCUCAGGGGGACAAGACGUCUCCAUCAUCGUGGGGGGACGGGGGCGUCUCCAUAAUCACUCCCGGAGCAGGCUGGAGGAGCAGCCUCUGCUGAUCUCUGCUGUGCUGAACACCAAAGGGUGGUGGAAAACCAGUCACUUACAGCUCUGAUUAACGUUUGCUACGUUAAAAACUAGAACAGCUGUGAAUUAGAUUCUUUAUACGCGCUGCCAAAAGUCAGAGACAAAAAAAGUGAUCAGCUUCAAGAGAAAUGUAGAUUUCGUGCCCAGUGUCAUUGGCACUUUGAGUCAUUUAUCUGUUGACAAAUCUGCGAACAGAAAUGUGGAUACAUUGAUGUAUUUUAAAUGUUUUGCUCUAUGCAUAACUGUAUUUAGUUUUUGUAUUCUUCUUACAGCACACACUGAUCUUACUAUGAACAAGUUCGGUUUGACAGGGAAGGGCAGAUUUGUUCUAUGAUCUCAGGGUCACACUUUCUAAAGUCUGUGAUUCUGUAUUCCAAAACUAUUUAAAAUGUUCCCUAAUAUCUACUUAAGUUUUUGAGAACACUGUUAAAUCAUUGGUACCUGAACAUGUUGUUAUGAUUUCAUUAUUUCAUUUUUUUAAGACUAAACCUGCCACAGUCAGGUCCUGAUGUUCGGACUUGGGAACAUCAGAAGGUAUUUCCCGCUCACGAGGAGCCUGGAGGCCGGUCAGGACUUGUGCCUCAGGAUCUCUGCUCCAGAGUCUCCUCGUGUUCCCACCGAUUCACGUGCACGUUUACCGCGUGUUACGGAGAGCGGGGCCGGGCGCUGAUGCUCGGACGUGCAUUCCCUGAGCCGCCGUGGUGGCGCCGGGCAGCGCGUGGGGUCGGUCACCGCGUGGGGCCGGUCACCGCAUCGGGUCGGUCACCGCAGCCGCCAGCGCCCGCCUUACACUGCUCAGGUGAAUUUAGCGUUAAUUCUCCUGGGAUCUUAUUCUUGACACCAGCUGACUGCAACCCUGUCAUCGCUGUGUGACACCUGCACAACGGAAAGGGUCAGUGAGUAAGUACACUUUUUGCUACGCUUGUUUUUAGUAGUUUAUGCAGUACAAGAAGCAAAUCAAGACUGUUAAAUUAACGGAACCUGUAGCUGCUAAUGACACACAGCAUUGGUGCAUUAUUAGCUAUGAGCUGGGUUUAUGUUUUGUGAUGCUGGCGGAUGCUCCGCUCGGCUCGGGGGCUGCGGUUCCUGAGGAACCUGUGUCACAAACAGGCGGCAGGUGCCACCUUCACACAGGACACUCGGCUGGUCGGGCUCUGGGGCUGUUCUCAGCAGAGCCCUGAGCUCCUGCCCCUGUCCCCAUCACCAUGGCCCGUGUCCCAGCCCGUGUCCCAUCCCGUGUCCCCGUGGUGCACACGCAGCCCCCGCGCACCGAGGGGAUGUGCAGGCUGGGAACAAAGGGUGAGAAUACGCGGCUUUGUCGUUAAACUGGUACAUUACAUGCUGUAUUUUAAUUAGGCUGGGGAUGAGAGUCAGCCCAGGAAAUCCGCCGUAAUCCAGCACUAUUGAAUUAUUCUGAUCCUUUCCCUCUGCAGAUUUCUCUCCUUUUGGAGCACGGGUUUAAGCUGCUAUCUUGUUCUCUUGCUCUUUCAGCCAAAAUGAGGAACAGCUAGUCAACAAAAUACUUGUGUGUUCUUUAACAAAACCCAAACGUGAACGUGAAACAGGCACUAAUAGAUACAAAACAGUUCCAACCUGAAUCACCUCUGCCGACUAAAAAGCGUUUGUUGUUUUGUUUUCAUGUAAGAUCGGAAGGCAGCGUCGUGUUAACCCUCAGACACCACAAGUGGUCGGAUGCUGUAGCGAGGAAAAGCGAAUUUCCCAGCAGAGGAGGGUUUGUGUUUGGGGUCUGGAUCUGCAGGGGCAGGUUUUGCGUGCAGCUGGGCCGGUGCUGCGAAGGGUUAAGGAGCCGCACACUUGACUCGGGCUGAUCUCAUCACGGCCACAUCCAAGUGCAUCUGUUGCCAUGAGGUCACCCCGGUGCAUGCUAAUCAGCCGCGGGCAGCCGCAGCGCUGCGCGCACACGGGUCUCCUGCGGCGGGCUCUGGGUGCCGGCAGCUGCCGGGGAUGCGGCGGCACCUCGGGUGAUCGCCUCCCGCUUUCGUUCCUUCAAAGCAGCGUUUUCAGCGGUGUCGGGAGAACUCUGACAUGUGGUAUCUGUUGAUAAAUGGAUUCUCUAAUGAAUAUUAGAGCGCUGCCCUCAGCAACACUUGAGCAGCGGCGCCGGAGCCCUUUCCAGCGCUGCCCGGGUUUACAGCCCCGGAAGCUGUGCUGCUUAUUUACAUAAAACUGAGAUUUUGCAGCCUUUUUGUUGAAAAGGCGACACGCACUUUGCUUUGUCUCCGGACUCUGACAUGCGUGGAUUUCUUGUCGAGAAUACUUGACUGUGCAACAAACAGGAUUUUGUUUAUUUUAAUACACUUUUUGCUAAGUGUUGAGCUUUACCUUUCCCACUUUAAAGCAAAAGGAAUAUUUCAAAGGGCCGUGUACUUUUAAAACAGAUUUUUGACAGAAACAAAACAAAACCUGGAGAAACGGUUGUCUUAGACUUACCUUCUUUCUAAUGCUAACUGAGCGAUGAUUCUUUUUGGUUUGAGUUCUUUUCUGCUUUUGGGGGAGGUUUGGUUUGGUUGGGUUUUUUUUACUUCUUUGUUUGUGCUUUUUCUUUGAAAAUGCAUAGGGUGCUUUGCCAGUUCUAUGUACCGGGUGCAAUGGAAGCGUCUCCAGGUUUUGUAUAGUAUUUCUGUGUGUUUUUAGGGAAGCUGGAUGGCGCUGAGCGUUAGAAAGAACACAGAGGUGCAGCGUGGCUCUGCGGUGCCGCGGCAGCGCCGGCAGCGAACACCGCUUUGCCUCUUCCCACUCGGGCAGCGGUGCCUGCCUUCAGCACCCUGCUCGCACACGGGGCGGUGUGAGGAGUCUGCACCGCUCUGGUAGGUGCAGACGAGGGGAUACCAAGGAAGGUCCUGCAUGUUGACUGUAAGAUGUUUGUGUGUUUCCAUGAGAGAGCAGCACUUUCCUGAGUUGGUGGGAAGGCGGUGCUGGAGCAGCGGGUUCGUCGGGGCAGGAGCGGCUGUGUGCGGGGUGUGCGGGGGGUCCCCAGCAGCAGCGGGGACACACGGUCACUGGGCUUUGUUCAUCUGCUUCACAAGAAGAGCAAGAUCUUUUCUCCUAGGGCAGGAAAAACCCACUUGGUUCUGUUCAGUAGAUUUGAAAUAAAAUAAGCUCUCUCUACCUCUCAGAAAUAAAAUGUUUAAAGUGUAUUUUUAUCUGUAUUACUAACUGAACUUCUACUCCCCCCCGAAGGAACACGCAUUCUAACAGCUCCCCGUUGAUCCCGCACAGCGUCUGUACCUGGAGGAGGCGGCCGAGGCCCCGAGCGUCACCCCACGCACCCACACGGCCUUUGGGAAAUCUCCGUGUCCCAGUGGUCUCCGUAUUGGUCACCUCCUGGUUUUUUAACCUGCCUACAGCGUCAUCGCGGUUUAGGCCUCUGAAGCCUCAAAUUUUGCCCAGUUUCCAGGUGUAUUGUCACUAACAGUGUUGGAAACCCUGCUGUAAAGAGGCUGCUGAGGUCCUGCUGGGCCAUCUCGGCAAGUUUGGCACAGGAUGAAGGGAUGAUGAUUUGUUCCAGUUUUCACCACCGUUACCUCCCUGUUUUUCCAUUGACAGACGCGUGGGGGCAGGAAAAGGCCCAUGGGUGCCACGUCCCCCAGGUCCCUGAGGGGACAGAGAUGACCUUUCUCUCGUGUUUGCCGGUUUCUGCUGUGCCAGCAGCAGCCCGACCUUCACGCGAGCGCAACGCGUGUGCUGUUCCUGUAUUUACACGAUUUUGUGUUCUCUCCCUUUAGAUUAGAAUAUGUAAUGGUCUCGUUACGGUAAUUGCCGCAGGCUGCCUCCCCACGAGUGCAAGCGCUGACCUCGCGCUCGCCAUCGAGUUUUCGGAGCCGCCGUCGCCCGCGCUGCCCCGCGGCUGCAGGAGCCGGGUCUCGGGGAAGCUCCGCCGCUCGGCCAGCGCGCUCGGCAAGGGGCUGCGGGAGCAGCGCUGUGGCCGCGCGAGCCCGGACACCGUGACCUAGCUCACUGCUGCCUCGCCUGCUGCAUCGCCGUGCCGCUGCAGCGCGACGGCUGCGCGCCGCGACCCGCUCACGAGAAGAGGAACCACGUCUUCUCUGGAGAGCAAAUGCCGCACAUUUACCACAACUCCUUCUCACUGCGGCUUCAACAACGAGACUGCACCUCUUGGUAACUGCCUCACCUUGUACCACAUCAGGGCAAUCGUCUGCAACCUGAAGCAUCUCUGGUUGGAGUAACGGGAAUCUGAAGGCUUCUGAGGACACGCCGUGUCCUCCUAGCACUUUGUGUAGCAAGAAAAACUUCUUGUAUUUUCACUAGGAAAUGUAUUCAGUCUACAUGUAUUAUAGGUUUCUAGGGGCGAUAACUUGUUAUAGCUAAAAAAAGCAAAACUGUAUAAUAAAAAGAAACCUGUGAACAUCCUGCAGCACUCAGAGUGAACGAGGACGGCCAGGGCGAAGGCAGAACCCGCCACGCGUCACAGGACAGGAGCCGACACCGACCAACCCGCGGGGAGAUGCUGCAAAGCAAAUAACAUGGUGUGAACUUCAUUGUUUGGGUGUUUGGAGCACCUGCCCGCUCCAGAGUCCCGUCCCUUCCCUUCCCUUCCCUUCCCUUCCCUUCCCUUCCCUUCCCUUCCCUUCCCUUCCCUUCCCUUCCCUUCCCUUCCCUUCCCUUCCCUUCCCUUCCCUUCCCUUCCCUCCGCAGGUCUGGACCGUGUUGUUGCUGUUGUUCUGUUUGCUCCUUGGCACCAAACGCACGUGUCUGAACCUGGUGUGAUUUGGUCUGAGUGAAGGGGAUUGGGCUUUCAGGGAAGCAAAAGGGGCCAGGUGUUUUCCUUGUUGAGCAGCUGUCUGCGUGUCAGCGUCCGGCCCCGUCACCCCCCGCCAUCACGGGCACCGCAGCCGUCCCGCCGGCAACAGCCGCCUUUGCAAAGGGCUUUGAUGCCGUUCUGAUCCUCUGCCUCACAUUUGGGUUUUGCUUUCUACUGAUUAUUUGUUGGUAAAGGAAAUUAGAAAAUAAAAUGUGUACUUUAAUUUAUUAUCUCUUCAGGACUGGAUAGGCGAGCGUGUCUUGUUCUUAGUUAUCCAAUAAAUGGUCUGACAUAAUUUCAAAGGCAUUCUUCUGAAACACAGGAGACUUUUCUCACUAGAGCAAUAUGCAUCUAAUUCAGGGAAGAACUAAAACACUGAGGAAAAUGCUAUUUUCCUGAUGUCAAAAACCCUAAAAAUGUAAAUUUGUAAAAACUGAGCUGUGGUUUUGUACUAUGAACUGGAUAACAAAGCUGUUCUGUUCCCCCUCACACCGUUAAUAAAUGUUGGCUCACAACAAAACCUUUAAAA